GGGUCCGCAGUUCACCCAGGCGUCAUCGUCCCAAGUCGGGAAGCUAAACCUGAUU
Non-coding RNA from Gluconobacter oxydans H24, 55 nucleotides. Lineage: Bacteria; Pseudomonadati; Pseudomonadota; Alphaproteobacteria; Acetobacterales; Acetobacteraceae. The record is from Rfam.